UCCGAUUUAACAUCGGCAGUCUCUCUAGAGUGCCCAACCUAAUGAUGGCAACUAAAGACAAGGGUUGCGCUCGUUGCCGGACUUAACCGAACAUCUCACGACACGAGCUGACGACAGCCAUGCAGCACCUGUGUCCUCCGUCCCCGAAGGGCCUCUCCCUCUUUCAAGGGAGAUUCAGAGGCAUGUCAAGGCUAGGUAAGGUUUUGCGCGUUGCUUCGAAUUAAACCACAUAAUCCACCGCUUGUGCGGGUCCCCGUCAAUUCCUUUGAGUUUUAAUCUUGCGACCGUACUCCCCAGGCGGGAUGCUUAACGCGUUAGCUAGACUACAGCAGGGGUCAAUACCCGCUACAGUGAGCAUCCAUCGUUUAGGGCGUGGACUAC
This 381-nucleotide unclassified non-coding RNA is filed under the name uncultured Oligoflexales bacterium. RNAcentral's name for it is "contains 16S-23S intergenic spacer region". Lineage: Bacteria; Pseudomonadati; Bdellovibrionota; Oligoflexia; Oligoflexales. The record is from RNAcentral.